GGCGACGAUGCGUAGCCGACCUGACAGGGUGAUCAGCCACACUGGGACUGAUACACGGCCCAGACUCCUACGGGAGGCAGCAGUAGGGAAUCUUCCGCAAUGGACGGAAAGUCUGACGGAGCAACGCCGCGUGAGUGAUGAAGGCUUUCGGGUCGUAAAACUCUGUUGUUAGGGAAGAACAAGUGCUAGUUGAAUAAGCUGGCACCUUGACGGUACCUAACCAGAAAGCCACGGCUAACUACGUGCCAGCAGCCGCGGUAAUACGUAGGUGGCAAGCGUUAUCCGGAAUUAUUGGGCGUAAAGCGCGCGCAGGUGGUUUCUUAAGUCUGAUGUGAAAGCCCACGGCUCAACCGUGGAGGGUCAUUGGAAACUGGGAGACUUGAGUGCAGAAGAGGAAAGUGGAAUUCCAUGUGUAGCGGUGA
RNAcentral lists this ribosomal RNA (422 nucleotides) under Bacillus sp. 31A(2010). RNAcentral describes it as "bacterial SSU rRNA". It matches the Rfam family "Bacterial small subunit ribosomal RNA", at positions 272 to 684 of the family's 1533-position model. The record is from RNAcentral. Lineage: Bacteria; Bacillati; Bacillota; Bacilli; Caryophanales; Bacillaceae.